CAAAUCUCAGCGGAGGAGAGCUAACAGGAUCGUGGAGAAUGGAGAUAUGUAAGGGUGGAUGUGAUAGGGGAGUCUGCGGCACAGUCAGUCCCGUGAACCAUGAGCCGAAAGCACCGUACAUUCCAAGGCAUGAGCGAGAAGGGCACUGGGGACCUCAAACAGGGCAGCGAAGAGGUGGUAUGUCGCUAGUAUCGUGACGAAUAACCAGACCCACAUGGUCGCCGCUGCGUUUCCCGUGGACCCAAAAGGAGCAUCAGCGUCCCUCCGUGGACCCAUGGGGCACGGAAAAGGCGCAAGCCCAAACCCCAAAUCCACGGCCCAAAUGGAUGUUUGCUGACCGUGUAAGAACCAGAAAAUCUGAAGCUUUGUAAUAUGGGUUAUUAAUUUUAUAGUUGGUAUCUUUGAAGGUAUUAAGUCCACAAUUUUAUCCCUUACAGUUUACCCCCCAGUUCCCCAUUUUGAUAUAAACAAGUGGAUUAUGAAGUCCCAUUGUGUUGCAAAUCAUAAUUCAAAAGCAAAAUCAUUUAAGCAUAUCAAUAAGAGGAGGAAAAGAAAAUAACCAUGAUUCCCCUAGUAACGGCGAGUGAAGAGGGAAAAGCUCAAAGUUGGAACCUGGCUGUCUUAGAUAGUCCGGAUUGUAAACUAAAGAGCGUGAAUCCAGGCAAGCCGGUUGAUCAAGUCCUUUGGAAUGAGGCGCCACUGAGGGUGAGAGCCCCGUAAAUCGACUGAGCA
Molecule: ribosomal RNA, 732 nt
Filed under: Lichtheimia corymbifera
Lineage: Eukaryota; Fungi; Mucoromycota; Mucoromycetes; Mucorales; Lichtheimiaceae
Description: eukaryotic LSU rRNA
Rfam family: Eukaryotic large subunit ribosomal RNA (bases 499-732)
Source: RNAcentral